Molecule: ribosomal RNA, 392 nt
Filed under: uncultured Methermicoccus sp.
Lineage: Archaea; Methanobacteriati; Methanobacteriota; Methanomicrobia; Methanosarcinales; Methermicoccaceae
Description: bacterial SSU rRNA
Rfam family: Archaeal small subunit ribosomal RNA
Source: RNAcentral
AAAGGCCAGGCUGAAGACCUUGCUAGACUAGCUGAGAGGAGGUGCAUGGCCGUCGUCAGUUCGUACUGUGAAGCAUCCUGUUAAGUCAGGCAACGAGCGAGACCCGCGCCCAUAGUUGCCAGCAAUCCCUCUGGGGGAGAUGGGUACACUAUGGGGGACCGCCUCUGCUAAAGAGGAGGAAGGAACGGGCAACGGUAGGUCAGCAUGCCCCGAAUCUCCCGGGCUACACGCGGGCUACAAUGAUCGGGACAAUGGGAAUCGACACCGAGAGGUGAAGGUAAUCUCCUAAACCCGAUCGUAGUUCGGAUUGGGGGCUGAAACUCGCCCCCAUGAAGAUGGAAUCCGUAGUAAUCGCGUCUCAAAAUGGCGCGGUGAAUAUGUCCCUGCUCCUU